AGACCCGAAACCCGGUGAUCUAGCCAUGGGCAGGUUGAAGGUUGGGUAACACUAACUGGAGGACCGAACCGACUAAUGUUGAAAAAUUAGCGGAUGACUUGUGGCUGGGGGUGAAAGGCCAAUCAAACCGGGAGAUAGCUGGUUCUCCCCGAAAGCUAUUUAGGUAGCGCCUCGUGAAUUCAUCUCCGGGGGUAGAGCACUGUUUCGGCAAGGGGGUCAUCCCGACUUACCAACCCGAUGCAAACUGCGAAUACCGGAGAAUGUUAUCACGGGAGACACACGGCGGGUGCUAACGUCCGUCGUGAAGAGGGAAACAACCCAGACCGCCAGCUAAGGUCCCAAAGUCAUGGUUAAGUGGGAAACGAUGUGGGAAGGCCCAGACAGCCAGGAUGUUGGCUUAGAAGCAGCCAUCAUUUAAAGAAAGCGUAAUAGCUCACUGGUCGAGUCGGCCUGCGCGGAAGAUGUAACGGGGCUAAACCAUGCACCGAAGCUGCGGCAGCGACACUGUGUGUUGUUGGGUAGGGGAGCGUUCUGUAAGCCUGUGAAGGUGUGCUGUGAGGCAUGCUGGAGGUAUCAGAAGUGCGAAUGCUGACAUAAGUAACGAUAAAGCGGGUGAAAAGCCCGCUCGCCGGAAGACCAAGGGUUCCUGUCCAACGUUAAUCGGGGCAGGGUGAGUCGACCCCUAAGGCGAGGCCGAAAGGCGUAGUCGAUGGGAAACAGGUUAAUAUUCCUGUACUUGGUGUUACUGCGAAGGGGGGACGGAGAAGGCUAUGUUGGCCGGGCGACGGUUGUCCCGGUUUAAGCGUGUAGGCUGGUUUUCCAGGCAAAUCCGGAAAAUCAAGGCUGAGGCGUGAUGACGAGGCACUACGGUGCUGAAGCAACAAAUGCCCUGCUUCCAGGAAAAGCCUCUAAGCAUCAGGUAACAUCAAAUCGUACCCCAAACCGACACAGGUGGUCAGGUAGAGAAUACCAAGGCGCUUGAGAGAACUCGGGUGAAGGAACUAGGCAAAAUGGUGCCGUAACUUCGGGAGAAGGCACGCUGAUAUGUAGGUGAAGUCCCUCGCGGAUGGAGCUGAAAUCAGUCGAAGAUACCAGCUGGCUGCAACUGUUUAUUAAAAACACAGCACUGUGCAAACACGAAAGUGGACGUAUACGGUGUGACGCCUGCCCGGUGCCGGAAGGUUAAUUGAUGGGGUCAGCGCAAGCGAAGCUCUUGAUCGAAGCCCCGGUAAACGGCGGCCGUAACUAUAACGGUCCUAAGGUAGCGAAAUUCCUUGUCGGGUAAGUUCCGACCUGCACGAAUGGCGUAAUGAUGGCCAGGCUGUCUCCACCCGAGACUCAGUGAAAUUGAACUCGCUGUGAAGAUGCAGUGUACCCGCGGCAAGACGGAAAGACCCCGUGAACCUUUACUAUAGCUUGACACUGAACAUUGAGCCUUGAUGUGUAGGAUAGGUGGGAGGCUUUGAAGUGUGGACGCCAGUCUGCAUGGAGCCGACCUUGAAAUACCACCCUUUAAUGUUUGAUGUUCUAACGUGGACCCGUGAUCCGG
This 1549-nucleotide ribosomal RNA is filed under the name Escherichia coli. RNAcentral describes it as "partial 23S ribosomal RNA". It matches the Rfam family "Bacterial large subunit ribosomal RNA", at positions 711 to 2243 of the family's 2925-position model. The record is from RNAcentral. Lineage: Bacteria; Pseudomonadati; Pseudomonadota; Gammaproteobacteria; Enterobacterales; Enterobacteriaceae.